Molecule: long non-coding RNA, 2013 nt
Filed under: Sus scrofa (pig)
Lineage: Eukaryota; Metazoa; Chordata; Mammalia; Artiodactyla; Suidae
Description: lncRNA (ENSSSCG00015049339.1)
Source: RNAcentral
UUUUUUUUUUUGUUUUGUUUUGUUUUUUUUUUUUUUGCUUUUUAGGGCCACUCCUGCGGCAUAUGGAAGUUCCCAAGCUAGGGGCUGAAUUGGAGCUACAGCCACUGGCCUACACCACAGUCACAGCAACACCAGAUCCUUAACCCACUGAGCGAGGCCAGGGAUUGAACCUGCAUCCCCAAGCAUCCUAGUCGGGUUUGUUAACUGUGGAGCCAUGAAGGGAAUUCACAAGAAAUGUUUUUAACAAGGUUCCAGAAAAGAAAAAACAAAGGGCAGAGAACACAGAGCAGAAAGAGGCCACAGGCUGGGUACUGAGCCCUCACCAGGGACGGCAGGAAUUUCCCGAGAGGCCACACACAUGUUGUGGGAAGACCACUUACAUGUAGUUAACGUCUCUGCUUCCCGCUUCUACCAAAACCCAGCAGCUAAAAUGAAGCACCCUGGCAAACCAGAGGGGAGGCUUCAGUCCCCGACCCCACCCCCAGCGGGGCACUCACUUCACACCUGUGUUUGGCCCCGGGAUGGGCCACACCAGCAUCUGCUCCACCUCACUGCCUGUUAAGGACUGGCUGGGAAGAGAUCUGCUCACGCAUUUAGUAACAAGCUUCAUGAUUUAAACAUUUCAAAAAACCCAGAGGUCUCAUUUGGGGUUCCAGUCCAUCACCUAACUCUGGGGAGGACACUUAACAUCUCUGGAGCUGCUGUGAGGAUUAACUCACACAGCACGUGGAAAGUAGGGAGCCUAGCACCUGGCACUCAGUAAACACCUCCCACAUGUCAGCUAUCAAUGACUCACGCUCUCCCUCUGUCUCCUCACCUCGCUGGGCAGAACAAAACCUUAAGUUCACUGUCCCUCCAGUCAUCAACAAGCAUCUUUUCCCUAGGGAGCAAGGACCCUAUGAGGUUUCUGCAACAGUCUCCUGGAUUUUCUAACCUCCACACACAGGCCUUGCUCCUUGGAUCGACUAAAGGAAGCUGGGAUAGAUUUGGCUGUUAGGCUCCAAUACAGAAAACAGAAAGGUUCUCUUCCCCAAAAGCUGCAUGGGGCUCAGAGAGUGGAGAACACACUUUAACCAGAGGUGAAGAGAGGUGUGGCACCAGCAAUCUGUAAGCCAGGGAGGUGAGCAUUCGGGGGAGGCUGAGCAGAUGGAGAGAUGCUGGUGGUAUCCUUCAGAGGCUGGGCAAUGCAGGACGGCCGCACCAGAGGGCCUGGGCCGACUGGACAACUGUCAUUACUGCACUUACUUCCUCCAGCCUUGAUAACUCAGACCCCAUGGCUCAACAGCCGGGAGCACAAUGAUUCCUUUGUGCAACUCCACUAGCCUUCCUGCGCCCCGGCUCUCCUCCUCACCUACAGACUAGGACAAGGCAACCUGACCUAGGCUCUCGGCUAGUCCCUGACAUGGCCUCAACUGAAAAGGAUUAAAUUUUCAGGGAGCUUGGGGGUAAAAGGAGAAGGUUAGAAGGAUUAUGGAAUGAAAAAAUAAUGUAAACAUCAAAAACUUAAGUGUCUUUUUUUUGGAACACCUUCAGAAAACAAGAGUAACACCUCGCUACGUAAAUGCUUAACUACAGAAAAUAUUAGAACAUAAAGAUGAUAUUUAAUAAAAUUAAUUUCAUUAUUUUAGGGUCUAAAUAAUUACAUAUAUGUACGUAACAUUGUAAGACAACUAGGACACAGCCCUAUAGGUGGGAAACUCCAGCUAAUUUACAGGCAUGCAUUUCUCCAAGGGCAAAGUCAGAGGCAUAGAGUCACCAACAAUGAGAAUAUGAGGAAUUCUAUAUUCAAAGGCCACAGGACAUUUUUUAAAAAGAUGACUUUCCCAAGUUAUUUUAAACUUUUUGCAUAUGUUCAUUUUAGCCGUCAAGGGUAAUUCAGCUUGAAAUUUCACAUUCAGUCAUAGCAUCUUAGGUUUAAACUAUCUUAUAAUGAGCAGAAUCUAAUUUUGUAGCUUGAUAAGGAAAAUACGAAUUCCAUGAACUUCUAAAAUACUGCCACUAAAGACCAUCUGC